UACAGAGGGUGCGAGCGUUAAUCGGAAUUACUGGGCGUAAAGGGUGCGCAGGCGGCCGUGUGUGUCAGGUGUGAAAGCCCGGAGCUUAACUCCGGAAUUGCGCCUGAAACUACAUGGCUAGAGCAUUGGAGAGGGUAGCGGAAUUCACGGUGUAGCAGUGAAAUGCGUAGAUAUCGUGAGGAACACCAGAGGCGAAGGCGGCUACCUGGACAAUUGCUGACGCUCAGGCACGAAAGCGUGGGGAGCAAAAGGG
RNAcentral lists this ribosomal RNA (253 nucleotides) under uncultured bacterium. RNAcentral's name for it is "partial 16S ribosomal RNA". It matches the Rfam family "Bacterial small subunit ribosomal RNA", at positions 524 to 776 of the family's 1533-position model. The record is from RNAcentral.